Molecule: ribosomal RNA, 767 nt
Filed under: Micracidini gen. sp. 2 BHJ-2012
Lineage: Eukaryota; Metazoa; Arthropoda; Insecta; Coleoptera; Curculionidae
Description: eukaryotic LSU rRNA
Rfam family: Eukaryotic large subunit ribosomal RNA
Source: RNAcentral
ACUGAGAACCCGAAGGUCGAAGGGUGAAAUUCAUUCGCGUCUCGAGGCAGGCGCGGAACGGUCGAGCGACGGUGGGCGUUCGCGUCCGCCGCGCAUUCCGUUUCGUCGAACCGGCAACGAACGCGUGCACUUUUCACCUGGUAGGACGUCGCGAUCCGUCGAGUGUCGGUCUACGGCCAGCGGUGGAGUCCGUCGGUCGUCUUCGUUGACGUGUACCGGCGAACCCGCUGGUUCCCGGCCGACUCGCUCGACGGUAUACGAACGGUUAGUGGCCGCUCCNNNCUCUYAYAGAGCGUCCGACUCGUGGCAAGCGCGUCAGACGAAUCGAGUACCGGACCCGGUCCGAUCCCGAUUCCUGGCGACUGUUGGCCGCGAAGUUCUCGGACAGACCACGUGUCCGUCUCGCGCGGACAUCGAACCGAUCUGCGACGCUAUAGCUUUGGGUACUUUCAGGACCCGUCUUGAAACACGGACCAAGGAGUCUAGCAUGUGCGCGAGUCAUUGGGAUUUCGACUAAACCUAAAGGCGCAAUGAAAGUGAAAAUCUUCUUUUGAAGAUCGAGGGAAGAUGGGUGGCUCGUUUCAAAGCGACCGCCUCGCAUUCCCGGGGCGUCUCGUUCUCAUCGCGAGAUGAGGCGCACCAAGAGCGUACACGCUGGGACCCGAAAGAUGGUGAACUAUGCCUGGUCAGGACGAAGUCAGGGGAAACCCUGAUGGAGGUCCGUAGCGAUUCUGACGUGCAAAUCGAUCGUCGGAACUGGGUAUAGG